GAUCUGCAAAUAAGCACUUAUGUACUGCUUCAACCAGACACAGGUAAUUUGCGAUUGCAGACACUUUGGUUCGGGAGAGGGAUUUAGCGUUUCACAUCGAUGGUCUCAGUAAAAGGAAGAUUGAAAUGCCACUUUUUGUGUCGAAAACAUCAUAUCAUAAUCAUACUCUGCCAUCGGCUGAAUGAUUGCCGAGUGGAACACUACUCCCCUAUCUUUCUUUGAUAUCCCAUGCACAUUGAUAUCUGCCAAAAAGCUGGUCUUCAUUCGUGGAGGAGAUGGAGAUGAAGGCCCUCUAAAAGCUAAAGCGCAAGGCACAGCCUUUUUUUAUCUUUGUUGCAUGGUGCACUUCAGCUUAUAUUAUAUUGAAUGAAAGGAGGCCAUCAUCAUAGGGAAGAAAGUAAAGCAGGAACACAGAGUUCUUCCUCGAGAUCUAUACACACUUUGGAGCUCAGUCUGCCUUCCAGGAGAAGAGAGUAUCUAUGGAAGGUGCCAAGGUUCUCCCUUUGUGCUGCAACGAAUGACAUGAGAGGUGAAAGGAUCUGAAUGAGGACAUGAGCUUCAUUGUUUGAAUGCCUGUUCAUUUGAUUUCUGCUGUGUCUCGGCACACAGUCACAAGAAACAAACAUCUCAAGAGUCCAGCCUUCGGACAUACGAUCAGAGGAUGAAGACAAACAGCCCAUGCUUUGUUCACCUCCAUGACACGGUUGAACUCUACCUCACAUAAUCUGCACACCCUGCUUUGUUUGCUUGCGUUCAAGUUAUAUGUGCCGCUGCUGCUGUUGUUGCUCAGGAAGGUACGCUGUUCACGUCGCAGAAGGACGGCUGACAUCUGAAUCUGUAUCUAUCUAUCUAUCUAUCUAUCUAUCAUACUCUUAAAGUAUGAAAUGUAUGCAAUGCUCGAAUUCAAAAGACAAGAUUGGGUCACUGGAACGAAGGUCAAUGAUGGUGAUCCAGAUUUCCUGACUGCAAAUGACAUCGAUGGAAUCCAAGAUUAAAACAAUAUUAUGUAGAAUUGUUUUAAGUUGAGCUAAUUAAACUGUGUGUGAAUAGCCUUGGAUUGAUUGAUUGUGACUCAUAAUAAUGUUCUACAGCUCAAUAUGUAGGUCAGUGCUCAAAGAAAACUUGAAUAUGAACAAGUGGCCCCAUCUCUCUUCUUCUC
Musa acuminata subsp. malaccensis (wild Malaysian banana) is the source of this 1159-nucleotide non-coding RNA. NCBI's taxonomy places the organism in Eukaryota, Viridiplantae, Streptophyta, Magnoliopsida, Zingiberales, Musaceae. The record is from RefSeq and is a predicted model, not a curated record.